This is a long non-coding RNA of Suricata suricatta (meerkat), 700 nucleotides long. RefSeq lists it as uncharacterized. The record is from RefSeq and is a predicted model, not a curated record. Lineage: Eukaryota; Metazoa; Chordata; Mammalia; Carnivora; Herpestidae. The transcript has 3 exons.
GCCGCCUUUUCCAGAGCCACCAAGAGCCCUUACACCAUGGCAUCCCUACCUUCCUUCUUGGCAAGGCAUUAUAGGGGAGAAAGGAGUGGCUUUGGUCCCCUGUAGGCUGGGUUCAAAUCCCAGCUCAACCACAUAAAUCUCAUUGCCUUAGCUCCCAGAAGCAGAGGAGAUGCCUCCAAGACCAGUAGGAAGCAAGGCCCAGGCAAGACCCAGGUGUAGCUCCAGAAUGUGGUGGAGAGACAGGAGCAUGCAGAGAGGUCAGAGGACCACACCCGGAUCCAGAGAGCCUCCAUCUGACAGGGAAGGAUGAUUUGGCUUCCCUCCGAGUCUCAGGGUGGAGGGGAAUGGGGUCUCUUCCUUGAGCAUCUCCCAGUUUGGUGGAGGCAGAUGGGUGGGAUGAAGAACAAGGAGAAGAGAACAGCUCCCAGGAAGCUCCUAGUCACGUGGGGACAGUCCUGUCAAGAACUGUGGAGGGUCUGAAGUUUUACUCUUCUUGCACGCUAGCAAGAUAACUUGCCGGAGUGUCACGGGUGUGCCAUAAACCACGAGACUCCUGGGUCAGAGACAGAGGACUUGACUCCCCGUGGCACAGCAGCCUCAGCACGUGUGUCAGCACCCCUUGCCUAUUGUCCCAUGGUGUGACCGUGAUGGCUGUCAGCGAACACCUGUGUGUGCGCUGGCUUGCAUUACAAGAGGAACU